This 253-nucleotide ribosomal RNA is filed under the name uncultured bacterium. Its description in RNAcentral is "partial 16S ribosomal RNA". It matches the Rfam family "Bacterial small subunit ribosomal RNA", at positions 524 to 776 of the family's 1533-position model. The record is from RNAcentral.
GACGUAGGGGGCCAGCGUUGUUCGGAAUUACUGGGUGUAAAGGGUUCGUAGGCGGUGUGGCAAGUCGGGAGUGAAAUCUCUGGGCUCAACCCAGAGACUGCUUCCGAAACUGCUGUGCUUGAGUGUGAGAGAGGCUCGUGGAAUUGCAGGUGUAGCGGUGAAAUGCGUAGAUAUCUGCAGGAACACCCGUGGCGAAAGCGGCGAGCUGGAUCACUACUGACGCUGAGGCACGAAGGCCAGGGGAGCAAACGGG